UCUAUACACAAUUUUUAAAUAAGCACUAAUAUCAUAUGAUAGAAACUUAAAGAAUAUGGCGGCUGAGUUUAACUUCAGGGGAACUUACCAAAUAAUAGAUAACCACCAAGAAGCUUCUCUUAUUUUUAUAAUUUGUAUACCGUCGUCAUCAGAAUAUUCAUAAAGUAUAUUCAAAAGGUUUAUACAAAAUGACAGAUCAUGGUGCAGUAAACAAAUAAGUUACUGGCGAGUUACAAUAACUAAGAUUUCGAAAGCCAAAUUAAUUUAAGUUGAAGCUGGACUUGAAAGUAAAUUUAAUUUUAUUUAAAUUUUGAAUUUAAAAAAGUUCAGUGU
RNAcentral lists this ribosomal RNA (333 nucleotides) under Deroceras reticulatum. Its description in RNAcentral is "partial 12S ribosomal RNA". The record is from RNAcentral. Lineage: Eukaryota; Metazoa; Mollusca; Gastropoda; Stylommatophora; Agriolimacidae.